This 406-nucleotide ribosomal RNA is filed under the name uncultured bacterium. Its description in RNAcentral is "partial 16S ribosomal RNA". It matches the Rfam family "Bacterial small subunit ribosomal RNA", at positions 29 to 526 of the family's 1533-position model. The record is from RNAcentral.
AUUGAACGCUGGCGGCAGGCUUAACACAUGCAAGUCGAACGAGUGGCGGACGGGUGAGUAAUGUAUGGGGAUCUGCCCGAUAGAGGGGGAUAACUUCUGGAAACGGUGGCUAAUACCGCAUACUAUCGGAUGAACCCAUAUGGGAUUAGAUAGUAGGUGGGGUAAAGGCUCACCUAGGCGACGAUCUCUAGCUGGUCGGAGAGGAUGACCAGCCCAACUGGGACGGAGACACGGCCCAGACGCCAACGGGAUGCAGCAGUGGGGAAUAUUGCGCAAGGAGGGGAGGCCUGAUGCAAACAUGCCGCGUGUAUGAAGAAGGCAUUAGGGGUGUAAAGUACUUUCAGCGGGGAGGCGUUACCCGCAGAAGAAGCACCGGCUAACUCCGUGCCAGCAGCCGCGGUAAUAC